This 1201-nucleotide ribosomal RNA is filed under the name metagenome. RNAcentral describes it as "bacterial LSU rRNA". It matches the Rfam family "Bacterial large subunit ribosomal RNA", at positions 1745 to 2925 of the family's 2925-position model. The record is from RNAcentral.
UGUAUGCCUUCGAUGGUGAUUGGACUUGCUCCAUGAGCUAUUGAAGGUCGCAGGUAAUCGGUGGCUGCGACUGUUUAUCAAAAACACAGGACUCUGCGAACACGUAAGUGGAAGUAUAGGGUCUGACGCCUGCCCGGUGCCGGAAGGUUAAUUGAUGGGGUUAGCGCAAGCGAAGCUCUUGAUCGAAGCCCCGGUAAACGGCGGCCGUAACAAUAACGGUCCUAAGGUAGCGAAAUUCCUUGUCGGGUAAGUUCCGACCUGCACGAAUGGCGUAACGCUGGCCACACUGUCUCGACCAGAGACUCAGUGAAGUUGAAAUCGCUGUGAAGAUGCGGCGUUCCCGCGGAAAGACGGAAAGACCCCGUGAACCUUUACUACAGCUUUACACUGAACUUUGAACCUUCCUGUGUAGGAUAGGUGGGAGGCUUUGAAGCCUGAGCGCUAGCUCAGGUGGAGCCAACCUUGAAAUACCACCCUGGAAUGUUCGGAGUUCUAACCUUGGUCCGUAAUCCGGAUUGGGGACAGUGUAUGGUGGGUAGUUUGACUGGGGCGGUCUCCUCCCAAAGAGUAACGGAGGAGUGCAAAGGUACGCUCAGCGCGGUCGGUCAUCGCGCUCUAGAGUGCAAAGGCAUAAGCGUGCUUAACUGUGAGACGGACAUGUCGAACAGGUACGAAAGUAGGUCUUAGUGAUCCGGUGGUUCUGUAUGGAAGGGCCAUCGCUCAACGGAUAAAAGGUACUCCGGGGAUAACAGGCUUAUUCCGCCCAAGAGUACACAUCGACGGCGGAGUUUGGCACCUCGAUGUCGGCUCAUCACAUCCUGGGGCUGUAGCAGGUCCCAAGGGUAUGGCUGUUCGCCAUUUAAAGUGGUACGCGAGCUGGGUUCAGAACGUCGUGAGACAGUUCGGUCCCUAUCUUCCGUGGGCGUUGGAAACUUGAGGGUGAGCUGUCCUUAGUACGAGAGGACCGGGAUGGACGUAUCUCUGGUGUUCCGGUUGUCACGCCAGUGGCACUGCCGGGUAGCUAUAUACGGACGGGAUAAUCGCUGAAAGCAUCUAAGCGAGAAGCCCCCCCCAAGAUUAGGUUUCCCUGGGAGCUUGACUCCCCUAAAGGGCCGUCGAAGACUACGACGUUGAUAGGUUGGGUGUGUACAGGUAGUAAUAUCUUGAGCUAACCAAUACUAAUUGCCCGUGAGACUUGACC